AUCUUCCACAAUGGACGCCAGUCUGAUGGAGCAACGCCGCGUGAGUGAAGAAGGCUUUCGGGUCGUAAAACUCUGUUAUUGAAGAAGAACGUGUGUGAGAGUAACUGCUCAUGCAGUGACGGUAUUCAACCAGAAAGUCACGGCUAACUACGCGCCAGCACCCGCGGUAAUACGUAGGUGGCAAGCGUUGUCCGGAUUUAUUGGGCGUAAAGCGAGUGCAGGCGGUUUUUUAAGUCUGAUGUGAAAGCCUUCGGCUUAACCGAAGAAGUGCAUCGGAAACUGGGAAACUUGAGUGCAGAAGAGGAGAGUGGAACUCCAUGUGUAGCGGUGAAAUGCGUAGAUAUGUGGAAGAACACCAGUGGCGAAGGCGGCUCUCUGGUCUGUAACUGACGCUGAGGCUCGAAAGCGUGGGUAGCAAACAGG
This 423-nucleotide ribosomal RNA is filed under the name uncultured bacterium. Its description in RNAcentral is "bacterial SSU rRNA". It matches the Rfam family "Bacterial small subunit ribosomal RNA", at positions 361 to 776 of the family's 1533-position model. The record is from RNAcentral.